This is a long non-coding RNA of Apaloderma vittatum (bar-tailed trogon), 430 nucleotides long. RefSeq lists it as uncharacterized. Lineage: Eukaryota; Metazoa; Chordata; Aves; Trogoniformes; Trogonidae. The record is from RefSeq and is a predicted model, not a curated record. The transcript is spliced from 2 exons.
UAGACAGACCUGGCAUUUAAACAAAAGCAGAAGGAGGAGCAAAAGAAACUUGAGGAGAUGAAAGCAAAGGCUGCUGGAAAAGGGCCCCUCACCAGUGGUGGAAUAAAGAAGUCUGGCAAAAAGUAGUUCGAUCCAACUUCAGGGUAAGAAGCGGUCAAGUUACUCAAUGGAUCUGCAGACUUCCAAGAGUCAUGAAAACUCACUGUUGAUUCAGAAACAUUGUACAUUUUGUUUAGUCAGAAUAAAUUUCUUUUGUUAAGAUGUGACAUUUUCUCUUUACCUGUAGGUUUUGUUUUAAAAAUGGCAUUACCGUUUUAUGCUGGAAAUGGAACUUUUACUGAAGACUGCUUGUGAUCUUAAGCAGCCUGACUGUAUCUGCUGGUUCCGUAGUCAUUUGUGAGAAUAAAAUUCCACUUUUGCUCAAUUUUGA